UUAAAUUAAAAUUUAAAUUUAUAAAUAUAAAAUUUAAAUUUAAACUUAUAUUUUAAUUAAAAAAUAAGCUUAAAAAUGUAAAAUUUAAUCGAACAUAUCUAUUCUGCCCGGAUUCAAUUUUCAAUUCGGCCUGCCGAAUUAGAAAAAUCAGUAAUUGAGAGGAUUUCCAUUCACCCGAAAAUCGAAAUCGGAAUGAAAAUCCCGCAUAUCAAUUAUAGACAAACGAAUUCGUUUAUUCUUAUUCUGAUUCCAGAGUGAAAAAUGAGCGAACUAAACACGCCCACCAAAAAGAUAAGAUAAAAUAAAAG
RNAcentral lists this long non-coding RNA (308 nucleotides) under Ananas comosus (pineapple). RNAcentral's name for it is "long non-coding RNA (ACOM_LNC036725)". Lineage: Eukaryota; Viridiplantae; Streptophyta; Magnoliopsida; Poales; Bromeliaceae. The record is from RNAcentral.